CCCCUUCUUCCUCCUCGGGCAGAACUGUAGCUCGCAACCACCUUCCAUUGCAGCCCAUCUUGGAGGUCCAGAUUUUUCAAAAUACAAGGGGGGAGGUUUUGAUCUUCAUUUCUUGGAAGGAGGUGGCUAAGAAAGGUUAGUUGAUGCCUCUAAUGCCUCUUUUUGUGCCCUCUUGCUCAAUUUGAGCUACUUUUUGGAUCUAGGGUUUCACCAUGAGAGGGAGAGAGUAGAAUAGCUAGGUAUGGUCUAUUUUGCUCAAAUAAAGUUGCUUAAGAUGGAUAUAUGAUGUCUCUCCUAUCUUCUUUUUUAUGUUUCCUUCUCUAAUUUGUGAAUCCAAGAAAUAUAUAUGUAGUAGUUUCCAUGAAUGGUGUUUCCAUGCUUGGGAAGGGAGAGAAAGAUAAGUUUUCUUUUUAGUUUUUUAAAUUAUAUGGUUUAGGAUGUUAUUUUUUAUGUAAAUUUGAUUUAAUUAUGCGAUAAGCAUUUUUUAUAUAUGAGGUUGCUUCAGAUGUUGCCUCUCCUCUCACCAUUUCCAUGUUUCCUUCUCAAAUUUUUUAGUGAUAUAAUAUAUUUAGUUUCAAUCAACAGUGGCCACUAACUUGUCUGCAUUUCCACCUCUGACAUAGACAAGUCCUAGAUCAAUGGUGCCUCUCAAAUAUCUCAGAAUCUGUUUCACAGCCUUGGCAUGCAUAACAGUUGGCUUCUCCAUAAAUCUGCUAGCCAACCCAACAGAGU
This 732-nucleotide long non-coding RNA is filed under the name Sorghum bicolor (sorghum). Its description in RNAcentral is "long non-coding RNA (SBIC_LNC009348)". Lineage: Eukaryota; Viridiplantae; Streptophyta; Magnoliopsida; Poales; Poaceae. The record is from RNAcentral.